Molecule: ribosomal RNA, 516 nt
Filed under: uncultured bacterium
Lineage: Bacteria
Description: partial 16S ribosomal RNA
Rfam family: Bacterial small subunit ribosomal RNA
Source: RNAcentral
GACGAACGCUGGCGGCAUGCCUAAUACAUGCAAGUCGAGCGGAGUUGAUGAGAAGCUUGCUUCUCUGAUACUUAGCGGCGGACGGGUGAGUAACACGUAGGCAACCUGCCCUCAAGCUUGGGACAACUACCGGAAACGGUAGCUAAUACCGAAUACUUGUUUUCUUCGCCUGAAGGAAACUGGAAAGACGGAGCAAUAUGUCACUUGGGGUUGGGCCUGCGGCGCAUUAGCUAGGUGGUGAGGUAACGGCUCACCAAGGCGACGAUGCGUGGCCGACCUGAGAGGGUGAUCGGCCACACUGGGACUGAGACACGGCCCAGACUCCUACGGGAGGCAGCAGUAGGGAAUCUUCCGCAAUGGGCGAAAGCCUGACGGAGCAAUGCCGCGUGAGUGAUGAAGGUUUUCGGAUCGUAAAGCUCUGUUGCCAGGGAAGAACGCUUGGGAGAGUAACUGCUCCCAAGGUGACGGUACCUGAGAAGAAAGCCCCGGCUAACUACGUGCCAGCCGCCGCCGUAA